ACUCGUGUCGGUCAAUCGUAUCCCUGGGAUGGGAUUUUGUGGAACUUAAGUAGGGGUAUUAUGGAUAUUUCCCCACUUAUCCUAAUAAGGUCCCAUGACUUCUAACCUACUUAGGAGGUUGUUUACCCUAUUAUUCCAUUCAUUAAUACUUAGAAACUCUUCUAAACACUCAAUAAUUCUCUCAAAAGCUUUUGGGAAAGGAAAGCUAGGGUUUCAACUAGAGGAUAAUUUUGGAUGGAAU
Molecule: long non-coding RNA, 241 nt
Filed under: Capsicum annuum
Lineage: Eukaryota; Viridiplantae; Streptophyta; Magnoliopsida; Solanales; Solanaceae
Description: long non-coding RNA (CANN_LNC014277)
Source: RNAcentral